UUGGUUGAAGCCAAAGGGAGGCGCCUCAAUGUUAAUGAGAGAAAUGAUUUUUAUAUGAUCCAACUAAA
RNAcentral lists this transfer RNA (68 nucleotides) under Nesophrosyne montium. RNAcentral's name for it is "tRNA-Asn". The record is from RNAcentral. Lineage: Eukaryota; Metazoa; Arthropoda; Insecta; Hemiptera; Cicadellidae.